UGCCAGCAGCCGCGGUAAUACGGAGGGUGCGAGCGUUAAUCGGAAUUACUGGGCGUAAAGGGCGCGUAGGUGGUUUGGUCAGUCGGAUGUGAAAGCCCCGGGCUUAACCUGGGAAUGCCAUUCGAUACUGCCAGGCUUGAGUAUGGUAGAGGGAAGCGGAAUUCCGGGUGUAGCGGUGAAAUGCGUAGAUAUCCGGAGGAACACCAGUGGCGAAGGCGGCUUCCUGGACCAAUACUGACACUGAGGCGCGAAAGCGUGGGGAGCAAACAGGAUUAGAUA
Molecule: ribosomal RNA, 279 nt
Filed under: uncultured bacterium
Lineage: Bacteria
Description: partial 16S ribosomal RNA
Rfam family: Bacterial small subunit ribosomal RNA
Source: RNAcentral